This is a long non-coding RNA of Felis catus (domestic cat), 6594 nucleotides long. RefSeq lists it as uncharacterized. The transcript is spliced from 3 exons. NCBI's taxonomy places the organism in Eukaryota, Metazoa, Chordata, Mammalia, Carnivora, Felidae. The record is from RefSeq and is a predicted model, not a curated record.
UUUAAGAAUUCUAAUUAAUAUAUGUGAAUAAAACUAUUAGAAGUAAUAAGAGAAACAUGCCUGAAUGCAAAAAAACAAAACAAUAGAAGAUAGGAAUGGAAAUGCAUUUUUGUUGAGGGAAAAGAAAGUAAUUUUAUCCUAGAGCAAAGCUAGUUAUUGAAAGACAGGAAAAUAUACGGUAAAAUCCAAAUGUAAAAAAAAAAAAGUUAUAGAUUUGUGAAAAAGGAAUCUCUAAAAUGUAAUUUUAAUAUGUAAUCAAGCUGGCUAAAAUUAAAAUAAGACUUUUAAUAAGUACACUGAUGCAAAAUUUAAAUUUUGUUUUUCUUGGUUAAAAGGACAAUUUUCUUAGAUUAUUGGUCUGCUCUUACCAAGAAAUAGUAAACAAAGAUUUUUCUUUACUUUUAAUGUAAUCUGCCUAGAAAAUCAAAGAUUCUGUGUUUUGUCUUUACCAGGUCUUUUUGCCAAGAACUUUGGAACCUGCGUUUACCUGUGAAGUCUGUCACGGUGGUUGUAUAGAUAACUAAGUAUGGUUUCACAGUGACCUAUGAUCCUAUUUAGUCAAGUAUCCAAAACCAAAUUAUAAAGUGAAGACUUUUGACCACAAAUUAACUUUGAAAUAUUACAGAGUGUACCUGGAAUAUUUCAAAGAUUUGUUUUCUCAUAGAAAGUUAAACGUUAGACUAAUGAGGCUUAUUUGAUGUGCUAAAUUACAUGGGAAGAAUCAUCAGAUAGGUCAUGCUAAACCUUCUUAGCUUGUAUGGGUAAAUGUGUUACAGAAAUUGUAAAAAAAAUUCUAAAAUUCUGAUGCAUCCUGAUAUAAUGUUAUCAGUCAUAAUUCUAUUUACUUUCUUACGAUGUUUUAUGUCACAAAAAUAACCAAUUUAUUUUGUCUACUGAAUUAUGAGUUCUAAUCAGACCUUUAAUGAUUUCAUUUUUAAAUCUUUUGUCAUUUACAGAAAGUUGUUGUUUUGCUCAGAUGCUUCUACCAAAGCUUUCUACAAAUGUGUUUCAUCUUCAGAGAAAUUUAAGGGAAGGAAUCUGACAAGGACUUUAGAAUACAGAUUUUUGAUAACUUUCAUAUCAUAUCAUGGGUGGCAGCCAAACCUCAGGGACUUAACCCUUGGACAUGCAUCUCACAAUUGAAAAACGCUCCGCCUGACAUAAAGACUCUGGAGACCUUGCAGUCACAUUGAGGAGGAGGAGAAGUAGCUGACACAGAGGGCAAUACUUCUGUGUUCAGGAGUAAAUGUAAAUAUCAUCCAGAACCUAUCCUUAAAUCCUGAAGAUACUACAAAACUUAUUGCUAAGACAAUAUCUGCCCAACAAAGAUCCUCAAACCCUCUGGCCAAACUUGUUCUUGAUAAUAGAAGAACCUCUGAUUAUACUGUAGCUGAGCAAGGAGGAGUCUGUGCUGUGGCCAAUACCACCUGCCGCACCUGGCUUAGGAUUUCUAGGAAAGUUGAAACUCAAUUACAUAGAGACCCAAGCAAGCCACUCAGCUUAAAAAAGGGACUCCUUCAGUGGGGUCUUUCUUUGACUUAUCUGAUUUGACUGGUGGUCUUGGGAACCAUAGCUCUGAAAUGCAUUCCAAACAUUGGAGAUUAUUAUGAUUACUGUAAACAGGAGUUCCCAUAGUGUGCUGAAUUCUCUCAAAAGUUUUAUAUGCAUGUUUGUAGCUGGUAACCACCAAGGAAACCAUCUGCCUAAGGAUCAAAGAAAAUGGCUGGCUUAAAAAUUGUGAACCUGAAGUUAUGACCAGUGAAUACCACACACAUGCACACAAACAACAAAAACUUCAGGAAAUACAAAGCAGUAGCUCAGAGUGGCGCUAAUGCCUUAUUUUUGAUCACUUCUUUCAGUUAAGCUCAGUCAUAUCAAAAGAGGAGAAUUGUUAAAAAGAAAACCACAGUCUCCAAAUGAAGUUGCUUAUGUUAGAAGCCCCAGGUCAGAAAACCAAGACUUAAUACCUAGCCUCAAGGCAGUUUCAACCCCCCAAGGAAUGUAACCUUUAACUAGUUAACCUGGAAUUUCCUGGUCAUCACUAGGGAACUUACUGGUUGACUCCUUCUGUUUCCCUUAGGAGACCAUCCUUGCCUAAAACAAUGUAUUGUUUGCUAAGAAUUUUCUUUUUAUCUCCACUCCUUCUCUACCUUUAAAAGUCUUUCCUUUUCUUCAGCUCAAUGGAGUUCCUUUCUGUUUGUUAGGUUGGAUGCUGCCUGAUUCAUGAAUUGUUUAAGAAAGCCACUUAGAUCUUCAAAUUUACUCAGUUGAAUUUUGUUGUUCAACACCUCAGAAUAGCCCAAAGAGGUAGCACUUAUGCCACAUCAUCUCAUAGAUGAGGGAUCAGAGGCUCAGAAGGUUGUGUCAGUUCUCAAGGUGACAGAAAUAGAAGGUGUCAACAACAAAUUUAAUUCUGGAACUGUUUGACACCAAAUCUUGCACUUAUGAACACUAUGCCAAGAGAAAACUUAUAGUAUCCAAGUUUUUGAUUGAAAACAGUUUGAAUCUUAGUUUUCAAUUUAUUUUUAACCCUUGCUAAUGAAAGAAGUAUGUAAAGCUAUUAAAUGCCAAAACAGUCCUGUCUUAUCUGUUUCUAUUACUGUUAAUUUGUUCCCUUAAUUGUUAAAAAAACAAAUUCAAUCGAGUAAAUUUAAAGAUGAUAUAGGCUUUAUUUAAUGAUUCAUGAAUCAUGCAGCAUUCUUUCUAACAAAUAGAAAGGAGCUCCAAAAAGCUACAGAAAAGAGAACGUUUUUUAAAGGCACAGAAAGGGUGGGAAGAGAAAAUUUAUAAGCAAAGGGUGGAUUGUUUCAGGCUAGGUAACCUACUGAUAGGGGACAGAAGGGGUCUUAUCAGUGAUUACCUCAUGAGUGCUAGCCAAGUAAUUCCAGGUUGAUUAGGUAAAGGUUACACUCCUGGGAAAGGCUUGAAACUGCAAUUAUAUUAGGUAUUAAGUCUUGGUUUACUGAUGUGGGGUUAAGCACAAGUGAUUACAUUUUGGGCCUGUUGUUUCUUUUUAACAUUAUCAAAGCCUUAACAAGAAAUUGAAGCAUUUUAGAGAUAAAAUAUAAAGAAUAUUAACACUUAUGUACCCCAAAUAUAGCUUAAAAAUUGAAAUGUUACCAAACUGUUUUGACUCUUUACAUAAUUCAUAUAAACACAAUUAAUUACCUACCCCUUCCUUCACAAUGUAGCCACCAUUCUUAAAAAGGUGGUUAUCAUUCCCAAGGAAUUUUAUUUUAGUUUUCUUUAAUUUUUUUUUAAUGUUUAUUUUUGACAGAGAGGGAGACACCGAAUCUGAAACAGGCUCCAGGCUCGGAGCUGUCAGCACAGAACCUGACAUCAGGCUUGAACACACAAACUGUAAGAUCAUGACCUGAGCCAAAAUUGGACACUCAACCUACUGAGCCACCCAAGUGCCCCCAUUCCCAAGGAAUUUUAAAUGAAAUAACAAUUUCUAUAUGUAGGGCCUAAAAUCAGUGGAUAUAAAACAGUACAAUCAUAAUAGAGGUUUUGUUUUAUUUUAUAUAAUAUUCUAAAUAUGUUUUUAAAUAAAAACAAAUCUGAACUCAGCCAAGGAAAGAUUAUCUGAAAAGACUAUUAUAAUAGGGAGAACAUCCAGAACUUGAUAUCUGCAAGUAUUUCUCAUACAAAGCAAAUGCAAAGACUUUUAUCCAGAGUAGUAAGCAGGGUUAAGCAGGGUCAGCAAGAACUGAGAGGGGCAAAGGUGGUGUAACAGAUAAUGUUUCCUUCUGUUACCAGCUGAUCAAUCGAAUGAGCUUUAAAAAGACUAUGUUCUACCCCUUUAGUACUACCUUCAAAUGGAGAGUAAGCUAAAGUUCAUAGGCCUAUGGGGAGAGGGGAAGCCUGACUACAUUCUGGCCAAGCCACAUCAGUGAGUAAGUAAAUAAGCCAUUUGUGUUCACCUUGGUCAUCAUCUUUAUGUUUAAUAUGGGCAAAGUCUGUUUAAAUAUAAUUCAAGAUGGAUAAGAGUUGUGAAUUUGAAGUUUGUAGUUUCCAGAGUUGGAUUGUCCUUUGCUUUCUUUUUGGUCUUGAUGGACUAGUUGUAUCAUCUCUUGAGCAUGUUGUUGGACUAUGAGUAGUUAGAAUAUUUAAGAGAUCAAGCACUUGGGACAGCUGGGUGGCUUAGUAGGUUGAGCAUCUGACUUUUGGCUCAGAUCUUGAUCUCACAUUCGUUCAUGGGUUCAGUCUCUGUGCUGCUCUGUGCCACAUCAGGUUCUGUACUGACAGCUCAGAGCCUGGAGCCUGCUUUGGAUUCUGUGUCUCCAUCCCUCUCUCCCUCUCUAAAAAAAUAAAAUAAAACAUUAAGAAAAGAGAAAGAGAGACCAAGCACUUGGUGAGAACCAUACCUAAGAAUAUAAUAGAAAAGGAGUUGACCAAGGUGGCAACAUAGGAGGCUCCUAAGAUUCCCUCUUCCCAUGGCUGCAUCAAAUAUACAUACAUGGAGAGAUUCUCUCUGAAAGAGACCCCAAAAAUAGCUGAGUGGCUCCCACACACAAAACAAAUUAGAAAAUACCCACAUCAAAAUUAAUUACAAGACUUGAUGUGCUUCUACCCAGAGACUAGGGGAGCUGGUGGACACUGCUCCUACGGGCUCCCUCCAGCCUGCUCCAAGUCACCAAAAACUCCCUGGAAGGAGCUUGCAUAAACGUCUGCACCCCAGCUUUUGCAACUGCUGCCAAGGGACGGGUCCACAAAUGUCUGAUUCUGAGCUGAAGGGGUUUCUAUUCAUGAGUCCCCCAGGACUGUGGCAAACAAAGAAGUGAUUGUUAACCAGCUAUCUCACUAGGGCUCAGCCCAGAGAGAGCCACCAAAAUUGUCCAUAUCUCAGUCACAAAGGUGUAAAUGUAGAAAUUAAUUACAAGAAAAAAACUUGAAAAUUCACAAAUAUGUGGAGAUUAAAUAACUUGUCCCUGAACAACAAAUGAAUCAGGAAAAAAAGGGGGGGGGGGUCAAACAAUAUCUUGAGGCAGAUGGGAAUGGAAACACAACAUACCAAAACUUAUGCAAUGCAACAAAAGCAGUCCUAAGAAGGACAUUUAUAGAGAUAAAUGCUAUUUUAAGAAAUAAGAAAUAUCUCAAACAACCUAACUUAAUUUCUCAAACACUGGAAAAAGAAGAGAAAAUUGAGCUCAGAGUUAUCAGAAUGAAUUAAAUGCCAAAGAUUAGAGCAAAAAUAAAUGAAACAGAAGCAAAAGGAAAAAGCUCAGUGAAAUGAGCUGUUUUUUUUUUGAAAAGAUAAACAAAAUCAACAAUGUUAGCUAGACAAACCAGGAAAAAAUAUGAUGUGUCAUAUAAAAUUAUAAAUGAAAGUGAAGGCAUUACAACUGAUACUACACAAAUAUGAAGGGUCAUAAAAGAAUAUUACUAAUAAUUAUAUGCCAACAAAGUGGACAACAUAAAAAAACACGGAUAAAUUCCCAGAAACACAAAAGACCAACACUGAAUCAUAAAGAAAAAGACAAUCUGAAGACCAAUUACUAGUAAGGAUACUGAAUUACUAGUCAAAAGUUUCCCAACAAAGAAAAGUCCAAGGCCAACAGACACAAGAAAAGAUGGUCAACAUCACUAGUCAUCAGAGAAAUGCAACACAACCACUCUGAGAUGAUGACCUUACAUGUGUCAGAAAUGCUAUAAUCAAAAAGAUAAGAGACAUCAAGCGCUUCAAAAAGUUCAAAUUAACUGCUCCAAAAAGAUGACAGUAUAGGGAAUAUUAUUUUAAAGUAUUUCCCUCAUUAUAAUUUAAUACCACUUAUCAAUUUUAAAAAUACUACCUUUGACAAAAAAAAAAUUAUAUCACUGUAUAAUUUACCGGUGUAUUCAUAUGUCUAUUUAGGAGUUCAGGACCAUAGGCGUGCCUGAAAGGAUUUUUCACAAAACAACAACAACAACAAAAUGAAAAAAGAGAGAAACCUAUCACCAUUAGACAAUUGAACUUUUACUAUAUAGAGGAUGCUUAGAGUACAUAUACACAGAACAACAAUUUGUAAAAUUUUCUUAUUUAUAAAUACAUCCUUAUUUACAUGGAAACUUUUUUCUAGAUACUUUUUAGAUAUUUGAGAUAAUUAUGAAAUAGUUUCUUUAUGACUAUUAGUAAACACAAUAUAAAUGGUAUUUCUCCACGUGUGCUCAUAAACCUUAAUUAUAAAUGUACUGUGAAAUUUUUAUAAAAUAAAGCCAUAUUGUGAUUACAAAAGUUUAUGUUCUUUCCAAUCUAAAGCAAGCUGAACUAAAUUUAGCUGUAUAAUACGAUGUUUUUACUUUGUUUUAUGGUAAACAAUUCCAAUAAACCAUACGGUUAUGCAGUAUUUGUUAGGCAGUGCAUAUUGUACAAAAAUGGUUUAUCCUUUUUAUUGAAUUUAUUCAUUCCAAACAAUAGUAUGUCAUUUCAAUAAACAGAAAAAUUAAGAUAAGACUGAUUUAUAGAAAUAUUGGAAAGGGAUCACUAUGUAGUCCUUUAAGAGGAGAAUAUGUUCAAAUACUUGUAGAAAUUUGAAUGUUAAAUAGUUGAAUGAGUUAACUAAUGAAUUCAGCAAAAAUGAUUGACUUGUUAACACUUAGCAUUGAAUUUCUGUU